GGAGAGCUGGCCGAGCCCGGUUGAAGGCGCUUGACUCGAAAUCAAGUGUGCCCGUAAGGGUACCGCAGGUUCAAAUCCUGCGCUCUCCGCCA
This 92-nucleotide transfer RNA is filed under the name Candidatus Falkowbacteria bacterium RIFOXYA2_FULL_35_8. RNAcentral describes it as "tRNA-Ser". It matches the Rfam family "tRNA". From Rfam's summary of the family: Transfer RNA (tRNA) molecules are approximately 80 nucleotides in length. Their secondary structure includes four short double-helical elements and three loops (D, anti-codon, and T loops). The record is from RNAcentral. Lineage: Bacteria; Candidatus Falkowiibacteriota.